This 1457-nucleotide long non-coding RNA is filed under the name Brachypodium distachyon (stiff brome). RNAcentral describes it as "long non-coding RNA (BDIS_LNC000482)". Lineage: Eukaryota; Viridiplantae; Streptophyta; Magnoliopsida; Poales; Poaceae. The record is from RNAcentral.
GCUAGCCUUAUCCCAUGAUUGAAUAGUUAUGGUUCCACCGAUUUAGACCUCCCGAGUAAUUCCUUUUGUUGCCGGCCUUUGCCAAUCUUUGUAUAUACCUCUUUAUUGUUUGCCGUUCAGGUGCCGUUGAGACUGUCGUAUAGUCAUAUAUCCUCCUUGCUUAAUUAAUGAAUCGUGUUGCUUUUCGUCAAAAAUAAAUAAAACGGGAACGACAAAAGAGCAUCCUGAUCUUUGUAUCCAGACUACAGAGGCGAUCCUGUCCGUUUCUCAGGCACCCAGCCAGGUUGGUGUCGUGACGUGCAGUGUUAGCUCCAGACUCCAAACAAUGCAACAGCCAUGAUUCCCAAUUAGCUUCUCCAUGCAUGCAUAACGGUGUUUGGCCCUUUCUGCGGCUGUGUACAUUGUUUUGACUUUUGAUGCAGAGUCUAGAGAAAAAUUUCUAUCGGAAAAAAGAAAAAAUAAACACUGCACGAGCUCUGCACCGUGGAUAUCUCUCGUAGCUCCAAAGAUGCCAAGGACCCUGGAUCGGCACUUAAACCACUUCGGCAGGGAAGCACAAGACAGAGCACGAUCCACAGGGAACGGGCCCAUUGUGGACGGGAACCUCCUGAUGCAUGGCUUGGGCCGUAUUCCCUCGCGUACGCUUCACGGGCGGGCUGGCCGACUUGCUUGCUUUUAGCCGGUCCAGUACGCCAGAUAAGGGCCUAAGGCCUUGUUUCCCUCUGUUUCUAUUCUCCGUUUUGAUCAACAAAAUGGGCCAAGUGGCCACCUUCGGAACUAAUUCUGCACGGCCUUUCUUUGACACAUUUUUGUCUGGGCCUCGUGUCGCACUCGCACAGGCCACACGGCCGUUUACUCGUCAUCCCGUUCCAUUCAAAUCAUUCCCGUCUUCCUCACCACUGCACAAAAGCAAAAAAGCCUCUGCCAUUUGUCCACCAUCUUUACCCAAAAUAUCUGUAGUUUUUCGAUAGCUUAUGAAACAGCCAGCCACCCAUGGACGACAGAGAACAUACGUACGGGUGCACAUGGCUUCGAUAAGUAAAAAAAAAGGAAAAAAAAAAAGCUAUUGCGUUGACCUUUCAAACGUAAGGCCGAGAGGUAAACGAAUCCAGAGAGUACAGUACUCCCUCCAUACCGAAAUAAACGAAGGUUGAUUUGUAUAACUUUUUAUAUAAAUACACAUCACUCUUUUUUUUAAGACAGUACACGGGGUGUGAAUGGGAUUCCGUCCAGCAGCAAGUCAAUCUGGUCCCAAUAGUGUAGCAUGCAAAUUAAGCAAACAAACACGGUUGCAUGCACGAGAGGUGCCGGGUCAAACCGGCCGGUCGAUCGGUCGACGCUGUCAGGAUCCACACUGGCCAGGUUUAAUUAGCUUAAGCCGGGCCGGACAAGUAAUAUCAGCUGUCAGGCCGGUAUAGUACGUGGAGCGGUAUAUAUAAGUGGCGGCACCGCGCGCC